GACGAACGCUGGCGGCGUGCCUAACACAUGCAAGUCGAACGGAACUGUUUUGAAAGAUUUCUUCGGAAUGAAUUUGAUUUAGUUUAGUGGCGGACGGGUGAGUAACGCGUGAGUAACCUGCCUUCAAGAGGGGGAUAACAUUCUGAAAAGAAUGCUAAUACCGCAUGACAUAUCGGAAUCACAUGAUUUUGAUAUCAAAGAUUUUAUCGCUUGAAGAUGGACUCGCGUCCGAUUAGUUUGUUGGUGAGGUAACGGCUCACCAAGACCGCGAUCGGUAGCCGGACUGAGAGGUUGAACGGCCACAUUGGGACUGAGACACGGCCCAGACUCCUACGGGAGGCAGCAGUGGGGGAUAUUGCGCAAUGGGGGCAACCCUGACGCAGCAACGCCGCGUGAAGGAUGAAGGUUUUCGGAUUGUAAACUUCUUUUAUUAAGGACGAAAAAUGACGGUACUUAAUGAAUAAGCU
This 467-nucleotide ribosomal RNA is filed under the name uncultured bacterium. RNAcentral's name for it is "bacterial SSU rRNA". It matches the Rfam family "Bacterial small subunit ribosomal RNA", at positions 28 to 492 of the family's 1533-position model. The record is from RNAcentral.